AAAGUUGCAAAGCACUUUGAAGAGAGAGUUAAAGAGGACGUGAAACCGAUGAGAUCGAAACGGAUAGAGUCAGCGUAUCUGACCUGUAUUCAGUCACACAUCUGUCAGUCGUCAUGUGUUGAUUUCCAGACUGGGACAGUGUGUGGCUAGCUGAUUGUUGUGUGGUGCAUUUGCAGGUGGAGUGCGUCGAGACGCUCGGUGUGGCGACAUGAGCUCAGUUUUGAGGCCAGCUUGCUGGUACCCGAAUUGGAGGAAUGUUGUUCACGCUGAGUGGAAUUGGCAAGGCCUACGAGUCCGGUUGGGCAUCGAGCUGGCAGUCGGCGUCGGUCGCAUGCGACACGUGCUGUGCAGUCAGUUCGGUCCUAGUCGAGCUCACAAGCCUAUUCUCGGCGUAAAAGCUGGUCAUCUAUCCGACCCGUCUUGAAACACGGACCAAGGAGUUUAUCGUGUGCGCAAGUCAUUGGGCGUUGAAAACCCAAAGGCGCAAUGAAAGUGAACGCAUCCGCAAGGAGCUGACGUGCGAUCCCGGGUACUGCGGUGCCCGAGCGCAGCAUGGCCCCAUCCCGAUUGCUUGCAAUGGGGUGGAGGAAGAGCGUACGCGGUGAGACCCGAAAGAUGGUGAACUAUUCCUGAGCAGGAUGAAGCCAGAGGAAACUCUGGUGGAAGUCCGAAGCGAUUCUGACGUGCAAAUCGAUCGUCUGACUUGGGUAUAGGGGCGAAAGACUAAUCGAACCAUCUAGUA
This 742-nucleotide ribosomal RNA is filed under the name Pratylenchus vulnus (walnut meadow nematode). RNAcentral describes it as "eukaryotic LSU rRNA". It matches the Rfam family "Eukaryotic large subunit ribosomal RNA", at positions 360 to 949 of the family's 3401-position model. Lineage: Eukaryota; Metazoa; Nematoda; Chromadorea; Rhabditida; Pratylenchidae. The record is from RNAcentral.